CCAGCAGGGCUGCCGGUGGGUGGGAGGCACUGGGAGCUGGGGGGGGAGAGUGUUGAUGGGGGGCUGCUGACGUAUUACUGUGGCUCUUUGGCAAUGUACAUUGGUAAAUUCUGGCUCCUUCUCAGACUCAGAUUGGCCACCCCUGUUCCAGUGCAUUAAACUACCAUACUUUUACCUUCAGAAUUAGCUUAUACUCAUCAAUAGUUAAGAGCUAUGUCUAUAAUGUGAUAAAAGAAAAGAGUUUAUAGAGAGAUCCUGACAGCUCAGUAACUACAUCUGUUUCUCUGCAUUACAAUCAUUUCAGUGUAUAGGUGCAAUUUAUCUCGCUUCUCCUUUUGGAAGAUUCAUAUUCCCUCCCACGAACUCGGAAUCAUUAGAAACAGAUAAUGGUUGUGUCCAGAAGAAGACUCAUCUCUCCAGCACCUGCCAGUAGCCAUCAUCAGCACAGGAAACCUUAUUCUGGUCUUUGAUGUGCAUACAACAUUUAACCGUACAGGGAGACAGGGAAACAUUACCAGGAAAGGCGAUGUGAAGAGUACAAACAAAGCCCCCCUCCAGGACGGCAGGUGCCCUGAACAGCACAGCUGAAGGGCUGAGCCCUGAACUCUGAAACAGAAGCUGUCCAAACACUUAAAGGGAAGAUUUGAGAGAGACAGCUGCAAGCAAGGAUAUUCUGAGUAUGUUUACAUAGAGUUGGUGAUCUAUGGUGUAGUUGGAAAAUUGGAAGAGAUGGUUCCAAUAACAGGUUUGGGGACAUAUGAGAUAAAAUUCCUGGUGGAUUUAAGCUGUUACAGUUUUCUGUAAUAUGGCAAAUUUUUAAUGGAAAACUCAGGGCACACAUUAAAAUACUGCAUGUUAGCGCACUAAUACACUUUUUUUAGGCCCUAUUGGAAAUUCAUCCACUAGGAGACAGUCUGAGGCUAUGAGAACUCUUUUUACAAAGGUCUGUUUAAAUUAAGCUUGACAGAGGUCCCAGAGGUAAAUAACAAUGGCUACUCUGACUCCUAAAAGCAAUAACUGAGGCACACGUAAAAUAUAAUAUCAGCUGUUAUGUCUUAACAGGGACUAAAAGCAACAUUUAACAAGUGUUGUGUAAUGGCAGGUUUGAUGUUAAGAUCAAACAGCUUGUGAAUGCAUUUUUGAAAAACAUUCUAGAAUGGGUAUCAUGACAUAAAUUGCACAAUACUCAGGAGACUGUAGGAAGGUUUUACUAACAGAUGAAAAGACAUGGGGUUUGAGAACAAAGAGCACAAUCUGAGUAUAGAGGAACUAUAAGAUCAACUGAGCAAAGAUGGGGAGAAAUGUAAACGUUUUAAGACAAAUAUAAAAUGCAAACUCUGGGUUGCUAAUAAGUAAACUUCAGGCUUGUAUUAGAAGUCUAUGACUGGAACUUAAAUUUACCUGCUGCUUUUCAGCAGUAAUCUGGGACUCAAAUCCUCCACAACCAAGACUCACAAUGAUUACAUUAUUAUUGCAUGGUAUUAAAGUUCCAUAUUAGCCAGCCUUCAGUGUAAGCUCAGUUAU
RNAcentral lists this long non-coding RNA (1524 nucleotides) under Chrysemys picta bellii (western painted turtle). RNAcentral describes it as "lncRNA (ENSCPBG00000003714.1)". Lineage: Eukaryota; Metazoa; Chordata; Testudines; Emydidae. The record is from RNAcentral.